UGGGGAAUAUUGCACAAUGGGCGAAAGCCUGAUGCAGCAACGCCGCGUGAGUGAUGAAGGCCUUCGGGUUGUAAAGCUCUGUCUUCUGGGACGAUAAUGACGGUACCAGAGGAGGAAGCCACGGCUAACUACGUGCCAGCAGCCGCGGUAAUACGUAGGGACCAAGCGUUGUUCGGAUUUACUGGGCGUAAAGGGCGCGUAGGCGGCAAUUCAAGUCAGCUGUGAAAUCUCUGGGCUUAACCCGGAACGGCCAGCUGAUACUGCUUUGCUAGAGUGCGGAAGGGGCAAUCGGAAUUCUUGGUGUAGCGGUAAAAUGCGUAGAUAUCAAGAGGAACACCUGAGGUGAAGACGGGUUGCUGGGCCGACACUGACGCUGAGGCGCGAAAGCCAGGGGAGCAAACG
This 402-nucleotide ribosomal RNA is filed under the name uncultured bacterium. RNAcentral describes it as "bacterial SSU rRNA". It matches the Rfam family "Bacterial small subunit ribosomal RNA", at positions 355 to 774 of the family's 1533-position model. The record is from RNAcentral.